This is a non-coding RNA of Xenorhabdus nematophila ATCC 19061, 120 nucleotides long. NCBI's taxonomy places the organism in Bacteria, Pseudomonadati, Pseudomonadota, Gammaproteobacteria, Enterobacterales, Morganellaceae. The record is from Rfam.
AGUUGCCGGCGUAGGGUACAGAGGUAAGAUGUUCUAUCUUUCAGACCUUUUACUUCACGUAAUCGGAUUUAGCUGAAUAUUAGCUGCCCCAGUCAUAUUUUUUGACUGGGGCGUUUUUUU